AACGAACGCUGGCGGCAUGCCUAACACAUGCAAGUCGAACGAGACCUUCGGGUCUUGUGGCGCACGGGUGCGUAACGCGUGGGAACCUGCCCUUAGGUUCGGAAUAACUCCCCGAAAGGGGUGCUAAUACCGGAUAAUGUCUUCGGACCAAAGAUUUAUCGCCUUUGGAUGGGCCCGCGUUGGAUUAGCUGGUUGGUAGGGUAAAAGCCUACCAAGGCGACGAUCCAUAGCUGGUCUGGGAGGAUGAUCAGCGACACUGGGACUGAGACACGGCCCAGACUCCUACGGAAGGCAGGAGUGGGGAAUAUUGGACAAUGGGCGAAGGCCUGAUCCAGCAAUGCCGGGUGAGUGAUGAAGGCCUUAGGGUUGUAAAGCUCUUUUACCCGGGAUGAUAAUGACGGUACCGGGAGAAUAAGCUCCGGCUAACUCCGUG
RNAcentral lists this ribosomal RNA (433 nucleotides) under uncultured bacterium. Its description in RNAcentral is "partial 16S ribosomal RNA". It matches the Rfam family "Bacterial small subunit ribosomal RNA", at positions 29 to 507 of the family's 1533-position model. The record is from RNAcentral.